CGACACAUCCUGUCGGUCGGCAGGAGUCAUAAAUUCCAUCGGCAGUAUGAAAACCAUGCCGAUAUCGGCUGCCGAUUCAUCACCCGCCGAUUCGUCGCCCCCUCUAUCAUUUCUUUUGGGGCGCCAUACCCGAGGCCUGCCUUCCUUCUUGUCCGUCGUGCUCUGUUGUUCCUCUUCCUGCUGUUCCCACUGGCGGAGACGUUGGAUCCUUCGUUUUUGAGAUUUGGUCAAUCCGUCGGGACACCACCUGGGGUUUAUUGGUUUGGUUCCUGACCUGGCGCGUUCCCACUCCGGCUCGCGUCCUAAAGGGUUUUCGUCUGUCACCCGAGCGUCGGCCAUCUCUUCAAGCCGACUGUGAACGUUGGCCCUGUUUUCUGGCCGGUCAUGUCGAUCAAACCUGCCCCCCGGUCUGUCACGGCGUCUGUCUUCUGACCGGUCAUAUCGGUCACUUCUGCCCCCCAGCCGAUCACGCACGGGAGGGCGCCGGUCAUCUUGGUCGCGCCAGUUCCUGCUGAUCGGUUCUGGUCUUCCGUCUCUGGAGCGAGACCUGUUGAACGGCCGAUUGCCACGAUACGGGCCGUUGCAUUCCGGGCAAUUAUCGGCCGAAGGUAGCCUGAGGUUGCUUUCCCAACAGUGGAUGAAGAACGGGCACCUC
Molecule: long non-coding RNA, 655 nt
Filed under: Setaria viridis
Lineage: Eukaryota; Viridiplantae; Streptophyta; Magnoliopsida; Poales; Poaceae
Description: long non-coding RNA (SVIR_LNC005373)
Source: RNAcentral